This is a non-coding RNA of Otolemur garnettii (small-eared galago), 337 nucleotides long. NCBI's taxonomy places the organism in Eukaryota, Metazoa, Chordata, Mammalia, Primates, Galagidae. The record is from Rfam.
GCCAGGCAUUAUGGUGGGUGCCUGUAGUCCUAGCUACUUGGGAGGCUGAGGCAGGAGACUCACUUGAGCCCAGGAGUUGGAGGUUGCUGUGAGCUGUGAUGCCACGGCAUUCUACCCAGGGGGAUAGCUUGAGGCUCCAUCUCAAAAAAAAAAAAAAUUCAGAGAAUAAGAAGGCCUUAAGUAGUUUACCUCUAUGGCUUAGGAAUUCUUUUCUUUUCUUUUCUUUUCUUUUUUUUUUUUUGAGACAGAGCCUCAAGCUAUCCCCCUGGGUAGAGUGCUGUGGCAUCACAGCUCACAGCAACCUCCAACUCCUGGGCUCAAGCAAGUCUCCUGCCUU